This is a non-coding RNA of Dipodomys ordii (Ord's kangaroo rat), 58 nucleotides long. The record is from Rfam. Lineage: Eukaryota; Metazoa; Chordata; Mammalia; Rodentia; Heteromyidae.
UGGCUCAGUGGUAGAGCACUUGCUUUGCAUGCAUGAGGCCCUGGGUUCGAUUCCUCAG